This 1397-nucleotide ribosomal RNA is filed under the name groundwater biofilm bacterium G2. Its description in RNAcentral is "16S ribosomal RNA". It matches the Rfam family "Bacterial small subunit ribosomal RNA". The record is from RNAcentral.
UGCAAGUCGAACGGUAACGCGCGGGACAACCUGGCGACGAGUGGCGAACGGGUGAGUAAUACAUCGGAACGUGCCCAGUAGUGGGGGAUAGCCCGGCGAAAGCCGGAUUAAUACCGCAUACGACCUACGGGUGAAAGCGGGGGAUCGCAAGACCUCGCGCUAUUGGAGCGGCCGAUGUCAGAUUAGCUAGUUGGUGGGGUAAAGGCCUACCAAGGCGACGAUCUGUAGCUGGUCUGAGAGGACGACCAGCCACACUGGGACUGAGACACGGCCCAGACUCCUACGGGAGGCAGCAGUGGGGAAUUUUGGACAAUGGGGGCAACCCUGAUCCAGCCAUGCCGCGUGCGGGAAGAAGGCCUUCGGGUUGUAAACCGCUUUUGUCGGGGAAGAAACGGUUUGCGCUAAUACCGCGGGCUAAUGACGGUACCCGAAGAAUAAGCCCCGGCUAAUUACGUGCCAGCAGCCGCGGUAAUACGUAGGGGUGCAAGCGUUAAUCGGAAUUACUGGGCGUAAAAGCGUGCGCAGGCGGCUUUGCAAGACAGAUGUGAAAUCCCCGGGCUCAACCUGGGAACUGCAUUUGUGACUGCAUGGCUGGAGUGCGGCAGAGGGGGAUGGAAUUCCGCGUGUAGCAGUGAAAUGCGUAGAUAUGCGGAGGAACACCGAUGGCGAAGGCAAUCCCCUGGGCCUGCACUGACGCUCAUGCACGAAAGCGUGGGGAGCAAACAGGAUUAGAUACCCUGGUAGUCCACGCCCUAAACGAUGUCAACUGGUUGUUGGACGGCUUGCUGUUCAGUAACGAAGCUAACGCGUGAAGUUGACCGCCUGGGGAGUACGGCCGCAAGGUUGAAACUCAAAGAAAUUGACGGGGACCCGCACAAGCGGUGGAUGAUGUGGUUUAAUUCGAUGCACCGCGAAAAACCUUACCUACCCUUGACAUGCCAGGAACUUGCCAAAAAUGGCUUGGUGCUCGAAAGAGAACCUGGACACAGGUGCUGCAUGGCCGUCGUCAGCUCGUGUCGUGAGAUGUUGGGUUAAGUCCCGCAACGAGCGCAACCCUUAUCAUUAGUUGCUACGCAAGGGCACUCUAAUGAGACUGCCGGUGACAAACCGGAGGAAGGUGGGGAUGACGUCAGGUCAUCAUGGCCCUUAUGGGUAGGGCUACACACGUCAUACAAUGGCCGGUACAGAGGGCUGCCAACCCGCGAGGGGGAGCUAAUCUCAGAAAACCGGUCGUAGUCCGGAUCGCAGUCUGCAACUCGACUGCGUGAAGUCGGAAUCGCUAGUAAUCGCGGAUCAGCUUGCCGCGGUGAAUACGUUCCCGGGUCUUGUACACACCGCCCGUCACACCAUGGGAGCGGGUUCUGCCAGAAGUAGUUAGCCUAACCGCAAGGAGGGCG